This 2779-nucleotide ribosomal RNA is filed under the name Escherichia coli. Its description in RNAcentral is "partial 23S ribosomal RNA". It matches the Rfam family "Bacterial large subunit ribosomal RNA". Lineage: Bacteria; Pseudomonadati; Pseudomonadota; Gammaproteobacteria; Enterobacterales; Enterobacteriaceae. The record is from RNAcentral.
UUCGACACACUAUCAUUAACUGAAUCCAUAGGUUAAUGAGGCGAACCGGGGGAACUGAAACAUCUAAGUACCCCGAGGAAAAGAAAUCAACCGAGAUUCCCCCAGUAGCGGCGAGCGAACGGGGAGCAGCCCAGAGCCUGAAUCAGUAUGUGUGUUAGUGGAAGCGUCUGGAAAGGCGCGCGAUACAGGGUGACAGCCCCGUACACAAAAAUGCACAUGCUGUGAGCUCGAUGAGUAGGGCGGGACACGUGGUAUCCUGUCUGAAUAUGGGGGGACCAUCCUCCAAGGCUAAAUACUCCUGACUGACCGAUAGUGAACCAGUACCGUGAGGGAAAGGCGAAAAGAACCCCGGCGAGGGGAGUGAAAAAGAACCUGAAACCGUGUACGUACAAGCAGUGGGAGCACGCUUAGGCGUGUGACUGCGUACCUUUUGUAUAAUGGGUCAGCGACUUAUAUUCUGUAGCAAGGUUAACCGAAUAGGGGAGCCGAAGGGAAACCGAGUCUUAACUGGGCGUUAAGUUGCAGGGUAUAGACCCGAAACCCGGUGAUCUAGCCAUGGGCAGGUUGAAGGUUGGGUAACACUAACUGGAGGACCGAACCGACUAAUGUUGAAAAAUUAGCGGAUGACUUGUGGCUGGGGGUGAAAGGCCAAUCAAACCGGGAGAUAGCUGGUUCUCCCCGAAAGCUAUUUAGGUAGCGCCUCGUGAAUUCAUCUCCGGGGGUAGAGCACUGUUUCGGCAAGGGGGUCAUCCCGACUUACCAACCCGAUGCAAACUGCGAAUACCGGAGAAUGUUAUCACGGGAGACACACGGCGGGUGCUAACGUCCGUCGUGAAGAGGGAAACAACCCAGACCGCCAGCUAAGGUCCCAAAGUCAUGGUUAAGUGGGAAACGAUGUGGGAAGGCCCAGACAGCCAGGAUGUUGGCUUAGAAGCAGCCAUCAUUUAAAGAAAGCGUAAUAGCUCACUGGUCGAGUCGGCCUGCGCGGAAGAUGUAACGGGGCUAAACCAUGCACCGAAGCUGCGGCAGCGACGCUGAUGCGUUGUUGGGUAGGGGAGCGUUCUGUAAGCCUGCGAAGGUGUGCUGUGAGGCAUGCUGGAGGUAUCAGAAGUGCGAAUGCUGACAUAAGUAACGAUAAAGCGGGUGAAAAGCCCGCUCGCCGGAAGACCAAGGGUUCCUGUCCAACGUUAAUCGGGGCAGGGUGAGUCGACCCCUAAGGCGAGGCCGAAAGGCGUAGUCGAUGGGAAACAGGUUAAUAUUCCUGUACUUGGUGUUACUGCGAAGGGGGGACGGAGAAGGCUAUGUUGGCCGGGCGACGGUUGUCCCGGUUUAAGCGUGUAGGCUGGUUUUCCAGGCAAAUCCGGAAAAUCAAGGCUGAGGCGUGAUGACGAGGCACUACGGUGCUGAAGCAACAAAUGCCCUGCUUCCAGGAAAAGCCUCUAAGCAUCAGGUAACAUCAAAUCGUACCCCAAACCGACACAGGUGGUCAGGUAGAGAAUACCAAGGCGCUUGAGAGAACUCGGGUGAAGGAACUAGGCAAAAUGGUGCCGUAACUUCGGGAGAAGGCACGCUGAUAUGUAGGUGAAGUCCCUCGCGGAUGGAGCUGAAAUCAGUCGAAGAUACCAGCUGGCUGCAACUGUUUAUUAAAAACACAGCACUGUGCAAACACGAAAGUGGACGUAUACGGUGUGACGCCUGCCCGGUGCCGGAAGGUUAAUUGAUGGGGUUAGCGCAAGCGAAGCUCUUGAUCGAAGCCCCGGUAAACGGCGGCCGUAACUAUAACGGUCCUAAGGUAGCGAAAUUCCUUGUCGGGUAAGUUCCGACCUGCACGAAUGGCGUAAUGAUGGCCAGGCUGUCUCCACCCGAGACUCAGUGAAAUUGAACUCGCUGUGAAGAUGCAGUGUACCCGCGGCAAGACGGAAAGACCCCGUGAACCUUUACUAUAGCUUGACACUGAACAUUGAGCCUUGAUGUGUAGGAUAGGUGGGAGGCUUUGAAGUGUGGACGCCAGUCUGCAUGGAGCCGACCUUGAAAUACCACCCUUUAAUGUUUGAUGUUCUAACGUUGACCCGUAAUCCGGGUUGCGGACAGUGUCUGGUGGGUAGUUUGACUGGGGCGGUCUCCUCCUAAAGAGUAACGGAGGAGCACGAAGGUUGGCUAAUCCUGGUCGGACAUCAGGAGGUUAGUGCAAUGGCAUAAGCCAGCUUGACUGCGAGCGUGACGGCGCGAGCAGGUGCGAAAGCAGGUCAUAGUGAUCCGGUGGUUCUGAAUGGAAGGGCCAUCGCUCAACGGAUAAAAGGUACUCCGGGGAUAACAGGCUGAUACCGCCCAAGAGUUCAUAUCGACGGCGGUGUUUGGCACCUCGAUGUCGGCUCAUCACAUCCUGGGGCUGAAGUAGGUCCCAAGGGUAUGGCUGUUCGCCAUUUAAAGUGGUACGCGAGCUGGGUUUAGAACGUCGUGAGACAGUUCGGUCCCUAUCUGCCGUGGGCGCUGGAGAACUGAGGGGGGCUGCUCCUAGUACGAGAGGACCGGAGUGGACGCAUCACUGGUGUUCGGGUUGUCAUGCCAAUGGCACUGCCCGGUAGCUAAAUGCGGAAGAGAUAAGUGCUGAAAGCAUCUAAGCACGAAACUUGCCCCGAGAUGAGUUCUCCCUGACUCCUUGAGAGUCCUGAAGGAACGUUGAAGACGACGACGUUGAUAGGCCGGGUGUGUAAGCGCAGCGAUGCGUUGAGCUAACCGGUACUAAUGAACCGUGAGGCUUAACCUUACAACGCCGAAG